Molecule: ribosomal RNA, 253 nt
Filed under: uncultured bacterium
Lineage: Bacteria
Description: partial 16S ribosomal RNA
Rfam family: Bacterial small subunit ribosomal RNA
Source: RNAcentral
UACAGAGGUCUCAAGCGUUGUUCGGAAUUACUGGGCGUAAAGGGUGCGCAGGCCGCGCGGGCAGUCAAAUGUGUAAUCCAGGGGCUCAACCCCUGAACUGCGCUUGAUACUUCCGCGCUCGAGCUUUGGAGAGGAGUCUGGAAUUCUCGGUGUAGCAGUGAAAUGCGUGGAUAUUAGGAAGAACACCAGUGGCGAAGGCGGCUCUCUGGAUCGAUACUGACGCUGAGGCGCGAAAGCGUGGGGAGCAAACAGG